GCCAAUGUGGUGUAAUGGUUUGCAUGUUGAACUAUGAUUCUGGAGAAUAGGGUUUGAAUCACUGCUGAGGCA
Molecule: non-coding RNA, 72 nt
Organism: Phrynosoma platyrhinos (Desert horned lizard)
Lineage: Eukaryota; Metazoa; Chordata; Lepidosauria; Squamata; Phrynosomatidae
Source: the annotation of a GenBank genome assembly